ACGGGAGGCAGCAGUGGGGAAUAUUGGGCAAUGGGCGCAAGCCUGACCCAGCAACGCCGCGUGAAGGAUGAAGGUCUUCGGAUUGUAAACUUCUUUAAUCGGGGAAGAAAAAAAUGACCUACCCGAAGAAUAAGCCACGGCUAACUACGUGCCAGCAGCUGCGGUAAUACGUAGGGAGCGAGCGUUAUCCGGAAUUACUGGGUGUAAAGGGAGUGUAGGCGGGACUGUAAGUCAGAUGUGAAAUAUGCCGGCUCAACUGGCAGACUGCAUUUGAAACUGCGGUUCUUGAGUGAAGUAGAGGUAAGCGGAAUUCCUAGUGUAGCGGUGAAAUGCGUAGAUAUUAGGAGGAACAUCAGUGGCGAAGGCGGCUUACUGGGCUUUAACUGACGCUGAGGCUCGAAAGCGUGGGGAGCAAACAGGAUUAGAUACCCUGGUA
This 436-nucleotide ribosomal RNA is filed under the name uncultured Ruminococcus sp. Its description in RNAcentral is "bacterial SSU rRNA". It matches the Rfam family "Bacterial small subunit ribosomal RNA", at positions 341 to 792 of the family's 1533-position model. The record is from RNAcentral. Lineage: Bacteria; Bacillati; Bacillota; Clostridia; Eubacteriales; Oscillospiraceae.